This 342-nucleotide small RNA is filed under the name Arabidopsis thaliana (thale cress). RNAcentral's name for it is "ATSL197970". Lineage: Eukaryota; Viridiplantae; Streptophyta; Magnoliopsida; Brassicales; Brassicaceae. The record is from RNAcentral.
UAUUAUAGGAUAUCAUGUGUAUCAUUGAGUAUAAGAACUAGAACCGCAACCGAUUCCCAAAAGCUAAAGUAAUGUUUCUUGUUUGUAGAUACAAAUCCAAAGACUCAUACCGACUUCGGCGACACCAUCAAAGCUUUGUGAGGCAAUAAGAAGCUUGGUUAGUUUUUCGGAAUCAAAUAUGGCUAGAUGUCAUGUGUAUGAUUGAGUAUAAGAACUAGAACCGCAACUAAUUCCGAAAAGCUAAAUUAAUGUUUCCUUGUUAGAAGAUACAAAGCUAAAAACUCAUACGGACUCCGGCUAAGCCAUUAAUGUUUUGAGAAGCAAUAAGAAGCUUGGUUAUUU